This is a non-coding RNA of Desmophyllum pertusum, 80 nucleotides long. The record is from the annotation of a GenBank genome assembly. NCBI's taxonomy places the organism in Eukaryota, Metazoa, Cnidaria, Anthozoa, Scleractinia, Caryophylliidae.
CGCAUGGUGGCCUAAUGGUUAAGCAUGCUGGACUCUGGAUCGGGCGGUCCAGGUUCGAGCGCUGGCCAGGGUCAUUGUGU